GAAAAACUAGUUAAAUUAUAACAUAAGAUUGUCACUCUUAAAUAACCCCCACCGUGUUUUUUA
This 63-nucleotide transfer RNA is filed under the name Alectorobius rudis. Its description in RNAcentral is "tRNA-Asp". The record is from RNAcentral. Lineage: Eukaryota; Metazoa; Arthropoda; Arachnida; Ixodida; Argasidae.